Molecule: long non-coding RNA, 204 nt
Filed under: Elaeis guineensis (African oil palm)
Lineage: Eukaryota; Viridiplantae; Streptophyta; Magnoliopsida; Arecales; Arecaceae
Description: long non-coding RNA (EGUI_LNC082906)
Source: RNAcentral
AUAGGAGUCCGGAUGAAGUCUUCCUACAACUGGAGUCGGGGAUGAAGUCCGGCUCCCGUAGGAGUCCGGACGAAGUCUUCUUGUAGCCGGAGUCAGGGACGAGGUCCGGCUCCCCUAGGAGUCUGGGCGAAGUCUACCUGCAAUUGAAGUCGGGGGUGAAGUCCGGCUCCCGUAGGAGUCCGGGCAAAGUCUACAUGCAAUUGA